UGAGGAAUAUUGGUCAAUGGACGAGAGUCUGAACCAGCCAAGUAGCGUGAAGGAUGACUGCCCUAUGGGUUGUAAACUUCUUUUAUACGGGAAUAAAGUUAGCCACGUGUGGCUUUUUGUAUGUACCGUAUGAAUAAGGAUCGGCUAACUCCGUGCCAGCAGCCGCGGUAAUACGGAGGAUCCGAGCGUUAUCCGGAUUUAUUGGGUUUAAAGGGAGCAUAGGCGGGUUGUUAAGUCAGUUGUGAAAGUUUGCGGCUCAACCGUAAAAUUGCAGUUGAUACUGGCGACCUUGAGUGCAACAGAGGUAGGCGGAAUUCGUGGUGUAGCGGUGAAAUGCUUAGAUAUCACGAAGAACUCCGAUUGCGAAGGCAGCUUACUGGAUUGUAACUGACGCUGAUGCUCGAAAGUGUGGGUAUCAAACAGGAUUAGAUACCCUGGUAGUCCACACAGUAAACGAUGAAUACUCGCUGUUGGCGAUAUACGGUCAGCGGCCAAGCGAAAGCAUUAAGUAUUCCACCUGGGGAGUACGCCGGCAACGGUGAAACUCAAAGGAAUUGACGGGGGCCCGCACAAGCGGAGGAACAUGUGGUUUAAUUCGAUGAUACGCGAGGAACCUUACCCGGGCUUAAAUUGCAACUGACUGAACCGGAAACGGUUCUUUCUUCGGACAGUUGUGAAGGUGCUGCAUGGUUGUCGUCAGCUCGUGCCGUGAGGUGUCGGCUUAAGUGCCAUAACGAGCGCAACCCUUAUCGAUAGUUACUAGCAGGUCAUGCUGAGGACUCUAUUGAGACUGCCGUCGUAAGAUGUGAGGAAGGUGGGGAUGACGUCAAAUCAGCACGGCCCUUACGUCCGGGGCUACACACGUGUUACAAUGGGGGGUACAGAAGGCAGCUACACGGCGACGUGGUGCUAAUCCCGAAAGCCUCUCUCAGUUCGGAUUGGAGUCUGCAACCCGACUCCAUGAAGCUGGAUUCGCUAGUAAUCGCGCAUCAGCCACGGCGCGGUGAAUACGUUCCC
Molecule: ribosomal RNA, 1017 nt
Filed under: uncultured organism
Description: bacterial SSU rRNA
Rfam family: Bacterial small subunit ribosomal RNA
Source: RNAcentral